ACAAUUUCUUUAAUUAAAUUAAAUGAGUUAUUGUUUUUCAUAUUCAUAGGAUAUUGUAACUUCUAAUUUGGUUUGAUUUUGGUUUUAUAUGGUGGAUAUGAUUUAAUAGACUUUGGUUUUUUUGCACAUGGGUUUGUGUUUGUAUAAUGUGUUGAGUUGAUUCUCCUCACUAAUUAUUUAGUGGGUUCAUCAUAUUGUUAAUUUGGUAUAUUAUAUAGUGUGUAUUCUAUAUGUUAGUUGUUGAACGUUGAGUCGUUGAGAUAAAAUUUUAGUAUAUGAUCUGAUGAGCAUGGGCUGAUUUUGAGGCAUUGAUCCCUAAACUUUGGCACUCCGAUUAUUACACAGAACUCCGUAAACUUAUCAUCUAGUUGAAUGAUAAGGUAGGUUUGAUAAUUAUGUUUAUUCACUACUACAUUUUUAAUCAAAUGCAACGGUUAAAAAGAGUUAUUGCAACGGCUCGUUUUAUUGCCGUUGCAUUAGAUAACCCUAAUACAACGACAUAAACUUUGUACAUCAAAAAGUGGGGCUAACGCAACGGCUUCAAGAAGUCGUUCCAUUUAGGGGUGCUAAUACAAUGGCCUAAAAGGCUAAUGCCACAGUAGUGAUUUUGGAAUUUUUAAAUGCGCUUAAAUUGAGAUAAUCCGCCCCUCUAAUAAGAAUUUUGUGAGUCACUAGUUGGAGGACCUCUUUCAUACAUACCCUCUCUCUCUCUUUCACACACACUCUAUCUCUCCUCAAUUGAGCAAGCUUUCUGAUGAAGCGGCGUACUCUGGGCUUUCUUCUCUCCAUUGAAGCUGGGUUGAGGUACUUAUUAUUAUUAAUCAUCAAAUAUCAAUUUGACAAUCUAGGGUUUAACUAUCUUUGAUUUAAUUGUCAACAAUCUAGGGUUCUUUGGUGGAUUUGAAUUUCUAGUAAUUUGUUAUUUACUCACUAUUUGUAUCACUUGUUACUCCAAUGGUCGUGGAUCUUGUGUUCGACCACCAUCAGUGGACAUUCGUCGCAAUGUUGUUGUAGGUCGUCAAAAGAAGAUCUAUGAAGUAAUAUUUUGAACCCACAGGGUUAGUCAGAAACCAACUGUGUGAAAAUCGACUUCCAUCUGUUCUGGACAGUUUAUGUUGUUAUGAAACAAAAGCUUCCUCUUUCCCCCAGACAGAAAAAACGUUCUCAGCUCUGACCUUCAUUUUCAGGUGGGGCAUCAGCAACUAAGCAUUUUUUUAAUUGUGGUAUUUAUUGGUUUAGGAUGUGCGAUGAUUAUGCUAAGCUUUUUCUUAGAAAUUUUUUUACUUAUGCUUGUUUAUGUAAACACGCCCAGAGAACCAAGAAGGUUGGUAUUGUCGGGAAAUACAGUACCCGUUAUGGUGCUAGUCUGCAUAAGUAGAUUAAGAAGAUGGAAGUAAGUCAGCACAACAAGUACUUCCGCGAGUUCUGAAUAUGGGGAAGAAAGGAGCAUAACCCCGAGCCUGGAAAGCAGAAUGCUGGAAUUGAUCAUAUCACAGCAAGACUUAAUAAAGACACGACACACAAAUAUUUAAUUUUGAUACUUAUUUCAUGGUUUAAUUAGUGACAUACUAUAUAAUUUUGUAAUUUUCCCUAAGGGUAACAAACUAACAAUGUACAAGUCUACAACUUAUAUUAAUAAAGUUUGGAUUUGAUUAUUA
Molecule: long non-coding RNA, 1658 nt
Organism: Chenopodium quinoa (quinoa)
Lineage: Eukaryota; Viridiplantae; Streptophyta; Magnoliopsida; Caryophyllales; Amaranthaceae
Exons: 3
Source: RefSeq, a predicted model, not a curated record